Molecule: long non-coding RNA, 935 nt
Organism: Pleuronectes platessa (European plaice)
Lineage: Eukaryota; Metazoa; Chordata; Actinopteri; Pleuronectiformes; Pleuronectidae
Exons: 2
Source: RefSeq, a predicted model, not a curated record
UUCUCCUGGUGUCGGCUCAGGUCAUGUUCAGAACUUGGAAGAGGAAACCUCUCACUUGAUGAUUCCUGAGAACAACAUGAUGUUCUUUACAGAACAACAUGGCAGCAUCCAGGACACUUCAGAGUUGGACUGGGAAAUAAAAUUCCAUUUUAGCCCGUGGAAGUUUCCCUUUGUGUAAGUGCAGAGCUAAAAGCCCGUUAAAAGCUUAACAAAUAUAAAGCUGUGCCUUUAUGAGGAAUAGACAUCAUAUUCUGCACACCGGACAUCCUCAGCAAACAAACAGACAGUGGACGUCUUCCCUAAUGCCCCGGGGCUUGUUUGAAGAGCGUUACUUCAUGGGUGUCUCCAUUUAACUGACACUAAACCAGCUCAAAUCAUUGAUAGGUGUCACUUUGAACACACUCGCACAGAUGUGGUGUCGAUGUGUGGAAACAGAAAGAGAGAGGGAGAGAGGGAUAGAGAGUAAGAAAGAAAGUGAAGGAGCCCUGAUUUUGGAAUGAAUCCUGUUUAUAUACUGAAUUUACUGAGGAUAUAAAGGACAUACUUUUAUAUAUAUAUACUGUAUAUAUACAUAUAUAUAGAUGUAUAGAUAAGUCAUGAAAGAAGAUGUAAUCAAGCAGAACUCACUUUUAGAAUUAAAACAGAAAACAUGAUCACGUUAUCUCAUCUGUCUGUUUUCAUGAUCAAAUCAAACUAUGCAACAAAGCAUCAGAUUCAUUAACUUUGUCAAAACCGAAAUGUUUCAAGUGAAUUUAACUAUUUGUGACUGUGUGUGUGUGACCUGCAACAUUACUGUGAUCGGUUGUGUUGCCUCUAUUUGCAGCAUGUGGGUGGAUCUGGUUGUGUUUUCUAACUAUUGUCGUUAAUUUGACUGUUUUAUUCUCAUUGUAACAUUGUUAAGGAAAGUUCUGAAUAAAGUUUAUUUGUGUCAUAAA